AGUGAUUUAGCUCAAUGGUAGAGCUCUUGCCUACCAUGCAGAAGGCCUGAGUUCAAUCCUCAGUACUG
RNAcentral lists this transfer RNA (68 nucleotides) under Fukomys damarensis (Damara mole-rat). It matches the Rfam family "tRNA". From Rfam's summary of the family: Transfer RNA (tRNA) molecules are approximately 80 nucleotides in length. Their secondary structure includes four short double-helical elements and three loops (D, anti-codon, and T loops). The record is from Rfam by way of RNAcentral. Lineage: Eukaryota; Metazoa; Chordata; Mammalia; Rodentia; Bathyergidae.